RNAcentral lists this non-coding RNA (89 nucleotides) under Pseudomonas tolaasii NCPPB 2192. Lineage: Bacteria; Pseudomonadati; Pseudomonadota; Gammaproteobacteria; Pseudomonadales; Pseudomonadaceae. The record is from RNAcentral.
UGUGGGAGCGGGCUUGCCCGCGAUGACGGAGUCUCAGUCACAUGGAUAUUGGCUGAUCCACCGCUAUCGCGGGCAAGCCCGCUCCCACA